GGCCUCGCUCAGUAGGCAGAUCAUUGGACUAGUAUUCCAAAGGUUGCGGGUUCAAUUCCCACCGUGGUCA
Molecule: non-coding RNA, 70 nt
Organism: Paramuricea clavata
Lineage: Eukaryota; Metazoa; Cnidaria; Anthozoa; Malacalcyonacea; Plexauridae
Source: the annotation of a GenBank genome assembly